CCCUUAGAUGUUCUGGGCUGCACGCGCGCUACACUGAUGCGCUCAACGAGUUUACGACCUUGCCCGGAAGGGUUGGGUAAUCUUUUUAAAACGCAUCGUGAUGGGGAUAGAUUAUUGCAAUUAUUAAUCUUUAACGAGGAAUGCCUAGUAGGCGCAAGUCAUCAGCUUGCGUCGAUUACGUCCCUGCCCUUUGUACACACCGCCCGUCGCUCCUACCGAUUGGGUGUGCUGGUGAAAUGUUCGGAUCGGCCGUUUGUCGCGGUUUCCGCGUCAUGUGGCUGAGAAGUUCAUUAAACCCUCCCACCUAGAGGAAGGAGAAGUCGUAACA
RNAcentral lists this ribosomal RNA (328 nucleotides) under uncultured eukaryote. RNAcentral's name for it is "partial 18S ribosomal RNA". It matches the Rfam family "Eukaryotic small subunit ribosomal RNA", at positions 1470 to 1796 of the family's 1831-position model. The record is from RNAcentral.